UUCCAUGAUGAACAAGAGCUAUAUGCUCGAUAUAAUCCCAGCUCGUCGACAGCGGCCUCAUCUAAAUCUCACGUUAGAGGCCGUUAUGAGAGGAAGUCCAACCCUGAAUU
Molecule: small nucleolar RNA, 110 nt
Filed under: Capronia americana
Lineage: Eukaryota; Fungi; Ascomycota; Eurotiomycetes; Chaetothyriales; Herpotrichiellaceae
Description: Capronia semiimmersa A. fumigatus snoRNA Afu_304
Rfam family: A. fumigatus snoRNA Afu_304
Source: Rfam by way of RNAcentral